This 464-nucleotide ribosomal RNA is filed under the name uncultured bacterium. RNAcentral's name for it is "partial 16S ribosomal RNA". It matches the Rfam family "Bacterial small subunit ribosomal RNA", at positions 29 to 507 of the family's 1533-position model. The record is from RNAcentral.
ACGAACGCUGGCCGCGUGCUUCACCCAUGCAAGUCGAACGGAAAGGCCCUGCUUGCAGGGUACUCGAGUGGCGAACGGGUGAGUAACACGUGGGUGAUCUGCCCUGCACUUCGGGAUAAGCCUGUGAAACUGCGUCUAAUACCGCCUAGGAGCCAUUUUUACUGUGUUGUUUGGAAAGUUUUUUCGGGGUAGGAUGAGCUCGCGGCCUAUCAGCUUGUUGGUGGGGUAAUGGCCUACCAAGGCGGCGACGGGUAGCCGGCCUGGGAGGGUGGACGGCCACAAUGGGACUGAGAUAAGGCCCAGAAUCCUACGGGAGGCAGCAGUGGGGAAUAUUGCAAAAUGGGCGCAAGCCUGAUGCAGCGAAGCCGCGUGGGGGAUGACGGCCUUCGGGUUGUAAACUCCUUUCGCUAGGGACGAAGCUUUUUGUGACGGUACCUAGAUAAGAAGCACCGGCUAACUACGUG